GGUAAAAAGCUCGUAGUUGGAUUUCUGUUGAGGACGACCGGUCCAUACCAUGUAUGCGCAUCUGGCUCGGCCUCGGCAUCCUCUCGAUAGACGUUUCUGCGCUUGAUUGCGUGGAGCGGAUCUCGGGACUUUUACUUUGAGGAAAUUAGAGUGUUCACGGCAGGCUAUCGCCAGAAUACAUUAGCAUGGAAUAAUACUAUAGGAUCUCGGUUCUAUUUUGUUGGUUUCUAGAAUUGAGAUAAUGAUUAAUAGGGACAAUUGGGGGCAUUCGUAUUAACACGUCAGAGGUGGAAUUCUUGGAUUGUGUUACGACGAACUACUGCGAAAGCAUUUGCCAAGGAUGUUUUCAUUGAUCAAGAACGAAAGUAAGGGGAUCGAAGACGAUUAGAUACCGUCGUAGUCUUUACCAUAAACUAUGCCAACUAGAGAUCCGGCAUCGUUCACUUACGACUUGCUGGGCACCUUAUGGAUACUAAAGUCUUUGGGUUCCGGGGGGAGUAUGGUCGCAAGGCUGAAACUUAAAGGAAUUGACGGAAGGGCACCACCAGGAGUGGAGCCUGCGGCUUAAUUUGACUCAACACGGGGAAACUCACCAGGUCCAGACAUAAUAAGGAUUGACAGAUUGAUAGCUCUUUCUUGAUUUUAUGGGUGGUGGUGCAUGGCCGUUCUUAGUUCGUGGAGUGAUUUGUCUGCUUAAUUGCGUUAACGAA
Molecule: ribosomal RNA, 710 nt
Filed under: uncultured marine alveolate
Lineage: Eukaryota
Description: SSU rRNA
Rfam family: Eukaryotic small subunit ribosomal RNA
Source: RNAcentral